CUCUUCGGGGAUGAUUAAACCGGCGCACGGGUGAGUAACACGUGAGUGACCUGCCUUUUAGACUGGAACAACUUACCGAAAGGUGAGCUAAUGCCGGAUGAGUUAUAUAAGUGCAUGUUUAUAUAGGAAAAGUUGGGGAGACCUGACGCUGAAAGAUGGACUCGCGUCCCAUUAGCUAGUUGGUAGGGUAAUGGCCUACCAAGGCGACGAUGGGUAGCCGGCCUGAGAGGGUGGCCGGCCACACUGGGACUGAGACACGGCCCAGACUCCUACGGGAGGCAGCAGUGGGGAAUUUUGCGCAAUGCUCGUAAGAGUGACGCAGCGACGCCGCGUGAAUGACGAAGGCCUUCGGGUCGUAAAGUUCUUUCGACAGGGAAGAAAAUGCCUAUAAGUAACUGUGUAUGUAUUGACGGUACCUGUAUAAGCAGCCCCGGCUAACUCCGUGCCAGCAGCCGCGGUAAUACGGAGGGGGCGAGCGUUGUUCGGAGUGACUGGGCGUAAAGAGCACGUAGGCGGUGUUGUAAGUCAUUAGUCAAAGACUAGAGCUCAACUUUAGUAAGGCUAGUGAUACUAUAAUACUAGAGUAUCAGAGAGGAUUGCAGAAUUCCUGGUGUAGCGGUGAAAUGCGUAGAUAUCAGGAGGAAUACCGUUAGCGAAGGCGGCAAUCUGGCUGGAAACUGACGCUGAGGUGCGAAAGCGUGGGUAGCAAACAGGAUU
Molecule: ribosomal RNA, 717 nt
Filed under: uncultured bacterium
Lineage: Bacteria
Description: bacterial SSU rRNA
Rfam family: Bacterial small subunit ribosomal RNA
Source: RNAcentral